GAUGAACGCUGGCGGCGUGCCUAAUACAUGCAAGUCGAGCGAACAGACGAGGAGCUUGCUCCUCUGACGUUAGCGGCGGACGGGUGAGUAACACGUGUAUCACCUACCUAUAAGACUGGGAUAACUUCGGGAAACCGGAGCUAAUACCGGAUAAUAUCUUGAACCGCAUGGUUCAAUAGUGAAAUACGGUUUUGCUGUCACUUAUCGAUGGAUCCGCGCCGCAUUAGCUAGUUGGUAGGGUAACGGCUUACCAAGGCAACGAUGCGUAGCCGACCUGAGAGGGUGAUAGGCGACACUGGAACGGAGACACGGUCAAGACGCCUAAGGGAGGCAGCAGUAGGGAAUCUUAGGCAAUGGGCGAAAGCCUGACGGAGCAACGGCGAGUGAGUGAUGAAGGUCUUGGGAUCGUAAAGAUGUGUUAUUAGGGAAGAACAAAUGUGUAAGUAACUAUGCACGUCUUGACGGUACCUAAUAAGAAAGCCACGGCUAACUACGUG
Molecule: ribosomal RNA, 497 nt
Filed under: uncultured bacterium
Lineage: Bacteria
Description: partial 16S ribosomal RNA
Rfam family: Bacterial small subunit ribosomal RNA
Source: RNAcentral